GACGAACGCUGGCGGCGUGUUUAACACAUGCAAGUCGAACGGAAAGGCCCUGCUUUUGUGGGGUGCUCGAGUGGCGAACGGGUGAGUAACACGUGAGUAACCUGCCCUUGACUUUGGGAUAACUUCAGGAAACUGGGGCUAAUACCGGAUAGGAGCUCCUGCUGCAUGGUGGGGGUUGGAAAGUUUCGGCGGGUGGGGAUGGACUCGCGGCUUAUCAGCUUGUUGGUGGGGUAGUGGCUUACCAAGGCUUUGACGGGUAGCCGGCCUGAGAGGGUGACCGGCCACAAUGGGACUGAGAGACGGCCCAGACUCCUACGGGAGGCAGCAGUGGGGAAUAUUGCACAAUGGGCGGAAGCCUGAUGCAGCAACGCCGCGUGCGGGAUGACGGCCUUCGGGUUGUAAACCGCUUUCGCCUGUGACGAAGCGUGAGUGACGGUAAUGGGUAAAGAAGCACCGGCUAACUACGUG
This 468-nucleotide ribosomal RNA is filed under the name uncultured bacterium. RNAcentral's name for it is "partial 16S ribosomal RNA". It matches the Rfam family "Bacterial small subunit ribosomal RNA", at positions 28 to 507 of the family's 1533-position model. The record is from RNAcentral.